GACGAACGCUGGCGGCGUGCUUAACACAUGCAAGUCGAACGGAAAGGCCCUGCUUUUGUGGGGUGCUCGAGUGGCGAACGGGUGAGUAACACGUGAGUAACCUGCCCUUGACUUUGGGAUAACUUCAGGAAACUGGGGCUAAUACCGGAUAGGAGCUCCUGCUGCAUGGUGGGGGUUGGAAAGUUUCGGCGGUUGGGGAUGGACUCGCGGCUUAUCAGCUUGUUGGUGGGGUAGUGGCUUACCAAGGCUUUGACGGGUAGCCGGCCUGGGAGGGUGACCGGCCACAUUGGGACUGAGAUACGGCCCAGACUCCUACGGGACGCAGCAGGGGGGAAUAUUGCACAAUGGGCGGAAGCCUGAUGCAGCAACGCCGCGUGCGGGAUGACGGCCUUCGGGUUGUAAACCGCUUUCGCCUGUGACGAAGCGUGAGUGACGGUAAUGGGUAAAGAAGCACCGGCUAACUACGUG
This 468-nucleotide ribosomal RNA is filed under the name uncultured bacterium. Its description in RNAcentral is "partial 16S ribosomal RNA". It matches the Rfam family "Bacterial small subunit ribosomal RNA", at positions 28 to 507 of the family's 1533-position model. The record is from RNAcentral.